This 484-nucleotide ribosomal RNA is filed under the name uncultured bacterium. RNAcentral describes it as "partial 16S ribosomal RNA". It matches the Rfam family "Bacterial small subunit ribosomal RNA", at positions 30 to 507 of the family's 1533-position model. The record is from RNAcentral.
AUUGAACGCUGGCGGCAGGCCUAACACAUGCAAGUCGAGCGGAUGAAGGGAGCUUGCUCCUGGAUUCAGCGGCGGACGGGUGAGUAAUGCCUAGGAAUCUGCCUGGUAGUGGGGGAUAACGUCCGGAAACGGGCGCUAAUACCGCAUACGUCCUGAGGGAGAAAGUGGGGGAUCUUCGGACCUCACGCUAUCAGAUGAGCCUAGGUCGGAUUAGCUAGUUGGUGGGGUAAAGGCCUACCAAGGCGACGAUCCGUAACUGGUCUGAGAGGAUGAUCAGUCACACUGGAACUGAGACCAGGUCCAGACUCCUACGGGAGGCAGCAGUGGGGAAUAUUGGACAAUGGGCGAAAGCCUGAUCCAGCCAUGCCGCGUGUGUGAAGAAGGUCUUCGGAUUGUAAAGCACUUUAAGUUGGGAGGAAGGGCAGUAAGUUAAUACCUUGCUGUUUUGACGUUACCAACAGAAUAAGCACCGGCUAACUUCGUG